This 704-nucleotide long non-coding RNA is filed under the name Scleropages formosus (Asian bonytongue). RNAcentral describes it as "lncRNA (ENSSFOG00015031563.1)". Lineage: Eukaryota; Metazoa; Chordata; Actinopteri; Osteoglossiformes; Osteoglossidae. The record is from RNAcentral.
GUAACGAGUUUGGCUCGUAAUUCAAAAUGAUUUAUAGUGGAGUGUGAAUUGGCGCGGAACUGACGAGUGUAGGACAAAAGGGAGGGGGGGUGUCUGGACCCCUCUUCUUAUAUGUCCUUCCCUAAUUCCCACAAAAGGAGAAAAAAAAAAUCGGAAAAAUAUUUCUGUAAAACCGAGAAAGCCUUUAACUGAAAAGGACGUAGAUGUUUGUGCUGUAGCGUAAAUAAGUUACCUCAGUGUCAGUGACUCGUCGCGUGUAAAACACAGUACAUGAUUAAAAGAGUGAAAUAUUCUACUGAAGACGACCCAAGAAUGCAUUUCCUUCAUCUUUAUUAUUAUUCACACGAUCAAAAACAAACAAAAAGAAGAAUUCCAGGGAGAUUAAUGUUUAAAAAAGGACAUGGUGCCGUAUCUGGGCCUCUGCAGCAGAACGACUGGAAAUCCAGGUCACUUCUCUACUGAUGGGUCAAAAAUAGCGUCUCCCAGAGCAGAACUUCACCACAGACCGCUGCUAUAAAACUGUCGACCCAAACUGCCGCUUUAUGGAAGAAUCACAACCGAAGCUCUUAGAAAAACAACUUUUGCGAAACAAUGAAAGACACACCUGAAUUCAUACUUGCAAAAGCUGAAAUCCAGGAAUGCACCUGUCUUGUCUAAUUAUAUCUUCUGUGCAUCUUAGCUGCUUCAGAAUAAAACCAUCAAGG